AUUGGUUUCGUCAGAGAUUAAUGGUGAGUCCCAAUUCGCAUACUAUCCGUCCUAAAUAGUAUGCGAAACUAGAAUUAGUACGUCCCAAAUCGUAGUAUGUUGAAAAGAGUAUUCCAAAGAUACCCGGAUGGUCUACUAUUUCCGGUUAGAAUUCGAAGUGCAGAUCAAUGCACACUCUAAGUGCUAAUAUUGCCCACAACCCAUUGCGUGCGGGAGGGAGGAGCUUUGCGAUGGCUUUGUGGUGAUGUAAACAUGGCAGCCGGGUGCAGCAGCGGAGAUGCGCCCUCAGCUUUUAAGUAUCCUCUCGCUGGCUCUGGGGUUACUGAGAAGAUGCCCAGGUUACGCACCUCACUUGCAGUUCGCAGACAUGCAUGCUUUGCAUUCAGGGGGAAAAGGAGGGAUCCAUUGAACAAUGGAAACAAAGCACCGAGAGAAAAAUGGAAACAAAACGGAGGUUAGACAAAUGGAGGUAACUGUUUUGGUCAGAGAUUCAGUCUCACAAUGAAUAUAAUAAUAGCAAUGGAAACCAUGGAUGCCCCCCAAAAAUAAUACUUUAAUCUAACCUUCAAGGGAAUAUACAGGGCCAACAGGAGCACAGGACACACACGGGUAGACAUAUAAUCUCCAACAAACAUAAACUGAAUGGACUAUGGCUAAUAAACAAAGGAUGAUUGGGAAAACAGAGGUGCAAGUAUUGACUAAAUAAAAGGAUACACGGCACACAUGGGGAGGAAAAACACAACACAAUGAGUCCAGUGGUGUAACAGUAGCCAUUUAAAGCUUUAUAAAUGCCAUCACUUUCUUUAAAAAACCACAGCAAUACAUUUUGUUUAACAGAUG
Carassius gibelio (silver crucian carp) is the source of this 840-nucleotide long non-coding RNA. RefSeq lists it as uncharacterized. The record is from RefSeq and is a predicted model, not a curated record. The transcript has 3 exons. NCBI's taxonomy places the organism in Eukaryota, Metazoa, Chordata, Actinopteri, Cypriniformes, Cyprinidae.